This is a long non-coding RNA of Bos taurus (domestic cattle), 1588 nucleotides long. The record is from Ensembl. Lineage: Eukaryota; Metazoa; Chordata; Mammalia; Artiodactyla; Bovidae.
UGGGAAAUGUGUUGUCCUAGACUCUGAACAUUCACGACAUACACUCGCUCUGUGGUCUGUGGCUUAGACUUCAGCCUUUCAGGUGGGUCAUUCGGGUGACCCUGACUUGAGCAGACACAGCUCUGUGGCCCUGCCAUAAGCCAUCCCAUCCCAGUUGGAGAGAGAGGCAGCUGGACUGAAGGACAGGCCUGAGCAUUUGUCAAGCAAGCUGUGUAUCAGUCUCUGCAUGGCAAUAGAGAAUAAAGCGAUUGAGAGAGAGCAUUAAAAAUCUUUAAAACAGCAACAGAACCCAACAGAACCAGGAACCCAGGUAUCCAGGCCUCCACAGUGGAGAGGAGCCCCCAGCCAGAUUGCUUGCUGCCAAGAUGUUCUGCUGUUUGCCCCUGCCCAGAGGCCAACGCCUCAGGAGAGCUCACAGGCAGAGUGUGUGGGAAUGCGGUCGACGCUGGCUCAGGGCCCCCCCAAGAGGCCUCUGGCCCUUUGCCCAAAGGAACAGGAAGAGCUUCCCACUGGAUCUGGCUGAUGAGGGGGACACCCCAUCCACCUCCUUGAGGGAAGGGUUGGACCACCAUCCCCCUGCCCGUGAGGCCCAGUGCAGGCUCCAGGUGAGCAUGCCCACAGAGGGGUCAGCCCAACUGGGAACGAAGAGGAAGCGGGGAAGGCCUGCUGCCCAGACACCACCCAGGACACACCCCAGGGACCAGUCUCAGGCUGCCACAGAGCUCAGCACACCCGGCUCUGACCCAGAGCCCCGAGAACCCCUGCCUCUGAGGCAGCAGGAGGACCUGGAGCCCAGCACGGCAGAGCACGGAGCUCUAACACCGGCCUUCAAAGUCAACCAGGCUCCACUUUCAAAUCCUGUCCCUACAGAGGUGGUUGCUCCAGGUGCAGGAACCAGGGAUCCACUGAAGGGAGAUCGAGACCUGAGACUUCCCCUCCCAAAGACACCGGGCCUGCAGGGUACUGGCCAGCACCCUGGGCAGAUCGCAGCUCUGUGCCUGCAGGACCCCCAGCCCCAGGCACCGAUGUCCCACCCCCUCAGCGAGAACAUCCACCUCCACCUGCACCUGUACCUGCUCGGGCUUUGGCAGGAGAACCCGAGUCAGGGGAUGAGUCACCACCUCUGCAGGGAGAGCCUGCCCUGGCUCCUGCCCAAGACCCAGACUCCCCAGAUGAGUGACCCACCACUGCAGGGAGAACGGGCCCCUGCUUUGGACAGAGACCCAGAUCCCUUUCCACUUCCAUUUCUAGAAACACCAUGUCCAAGGGAAGGGUUGGCUCUGCAGCCUCUAUCCCUGUAUGCCCCCCAUGGACACCAUCAACUCGCUCCCAACCCAGGGGAGACUGGGUUCCCUUCCCCUGAGAGUCUUUUCAUUUGGUUUUUCUGGAACUUUCUUGUGUUGCUUUAUGUUUUUUUUGGCUUUCUGUAUUUCUUUCCAUUGAGUUUUUAUUAAUAAAAUUUAUUCUAAUUCUUGCAAUUUGGGAACAUUGAAGACUUUCAAAAUGCUGUGUAACCAUCACCACUUUUUAGUGUCAGACCCUUUCAAUCUUUCCACCCAUUUCCCAACAAAUCCCAUAUUCAUGUCCC